Molecule: long non-coding RNA, 1457 nt
Organism: Phasianus colchicus (ring-necked pheasant)
Lineage: Eukaryota; Metazoa; Chordata; Aves; Galliformes; Phasianidae
Source: Ensembl
GGGGGGAGUUUGGUGGUGGCAAAAUUGGGGUGAGAUGGGGGCAAAAUUGGGCUGAAUUGGUGCCAAAUGUGGGGGUUUGGUGGUGACAAAGUUGGGUUUGGUGGUGCCAAAAUUGGGGUGAGAUGGUGCCAAAAUUGGGGGUUUGGUGGUGGCAAAGUUGGGUUUGGUGGUUCUAAACUGGGGUGAAAUGGUGCUAAACUGGGGUGAAGGGGUGCUAAACUGGGGGGUAAUGGCGGUGCUAAAAACUGGGGGGGGUUGUGGAGCCAAAAUGGGGUGAAACGGUGCCAAAAUGGUGGCUUUUGGUGGCUUUCCCAGCUGUUUUGGGGCUCCAUUUUGGGGCGAUUUCUGAGCUUUUCCAGCCGUUUUGGGGCUCCAUUUUGGGACAAUUUCUGAGCUUUUCCAGCUGUUUUGUGGCUCCACUUUGGGGCAAUUUCUGAGCUUUCCCAGCCCUUUUGGGGCUCCAUUUUGGGGCGAUUUCUGAGCUUUUCCAGCCCUUUUGGGGCUCCACUUUGGGGCCCUUUUGGGGCCGUCGCGUUGUCGCGUCUCUGGGGGGCCGAUUUUUGGGGCUGUUUUCUGGGCUUUUCUUCGGGUUCGUUUAUUUUAUGGGGGGGUGGGGGUCUCCUUCUGGGGGUCCCUCACACUCCGUGCCCCCCAGCCCCGACAGCGCCGUCCCCGGGGACGUGCUGGUGCUCACCAAGCCGCUGGGCACGCAGGUGGCCGUCACUGCGCACCAAUGGCUGGAUAACGUGAGUUUUGGGGUCGGGGGGACAAAAUGGGGGGGGUCGGGGUCUCCGUAGGGGACGGGGAGGUGCAGAAGACCCCAGAUGGGUCUGGGGGGCAUCGCCGUGUCCCCAAAGGGACCUCAGGUGGGGCCGGGGGGCAACUGGGGGUCCCCAAAGGGACACACUGGCUUUGUGGUCACCCCAUUGGAUUUGUGGUCACCCCAUUUAGUUUGGGGUCACCCCAUUGGGUUUGGGAUCCUCCUAUCUUGGGGUUGCCCCAUUGGGUUUGGGGUCGCCCUAUUGGGUUUAGGAUCACCCCAUUGGGUUUGGGGUCAUCCCAUGGGGUUUGGGAUCCUCCUGUCUUUGGGGUCACCCCUUUGGGUUUGGGGUCCUCCUGUCUUUGGGGUCCUCCUGUCUUUGGGGUCACCCCAUUGGGUUUGGGGUCACCCCAUUGGGUUUGCGGUCACCCCAUUGGGUUUGGGGUCACCCCGUGGGGUUUGGGGUCCUCCUAUCUUUGGGUCACCCCAUUGGGUUUGGGAUCCUCCUAUCUUUGGAGUCUACUCAUUGGGUUUGGGGUCACCCCAUGGGGUUUGGGGUCCUCCUGUCUUUGGGGUCACCCCAUUGGGUUUAGGGUCACCCCAUUGGGUUUGGGAUCCUCCUAUCUUUGGGUCACCCCAUUGGGUUUGGGAUCAUCCCGUUGGGUUUGGGAUCACCCCAUUGGUUUGGGAUCAUCCC